RNAcentral lists this transfer RNA (83 nucleotides) under Croceimicrobium hydrocarbonivorans. It matches the Rfam family "tRNA". Rfam says of the family: Transfer RNA (tRNA) molecules are approximately 80 nucleotides in length. Their secondary structure includes four short double-helical elements and three loops (D, anti-codon, and T loops). The record is from Rfam by way of RNAcentral. Lineage: Bacteria; Pseudomonadati; Bacteroidota; Flavobacteriia; Flavobacteriales; Owenweeksiaceae.
GCCCAGGUGGUGGAAUUGGUAGACAUGCUGUCUUCAGGCGGCAGUGGCCCUUGGCCGUGCAGGUUCGAGUCCUGUUCUGGGCA